RNAcentral lists this ribosomal RNA (255 nucleotides) under uncultured bacterium. Its description in RNAcentral is "partial 16S ribosomal RNA". It matches the Rfam family "Bacterial small subunit ribosomal RNA", at positions 524 to 776 of the family's 1533-position model. The record is from RNAcentral.
UACGAGGGGGGCGAGCGUUUGUUCGGAAUUAUUGGGCGUAAAGGGUGCGUAGGCGGUUUGGUAAGUCUGAUGUGAAAUCUAUGGGCUCAACUCAUAGUCUGCAUCGGAAACUGCCGGGCUUGAGUGUGGGAGAGGUGAGUGGAAUUCCUGGUGUAGCGGUGAAAUGCGUAGAUAUCAGGAGGAACACCUGUGGCGAAAGCGGCUCACUGGACCAUAACUGACGCUGAUGCACGAAAGCUAGGGGGAGCAAACAGG